UCGAACGAUGAAGCCCUUCGGGGUGGAUUAGUGGCGAACGGGUGAGUAACACGUGGGCAAUCUGCCCUUCACUCUGGGACAAGCCCUGGAAACGGGGUCUAAUACCGGAUAACACUCCUGCCUGCAUGGGCGGGGGUUAAAAGCUCCGGCGGUGAAGGAUGAGCCCGCGGCCUAUCAGCUUGUUGGUGGGGUAAUGGCCCACCAAGGCGACGACGGGUAGCCGGCCUGAGAGGGCGACCGGCCACACUGGGACUGAGACACGGCCCAGACUCCUACGGGAGGCAGCAGUGGGGAAUAUUGCACAAUGGGCGAAAGCCUGAUGCAGCGACGCCGCGUGAGGGAUGACGGCCUUCGGGUUGUAAACCUCUUUCAGCAGGGAAGAAGCGAAAGUGACGGUACCUGCAGAAGAAGCGCCGGCUAACUACGUGCCAGCAGCCGCGGUAAUACGUAGGGCGCAAGCGUUGUCCGGAAUUAUUGGGCGUAAAGAGCUCGUAGGCGGCUUGUCACGUCGGAUGUGAAAGCCCGAGGCUUAACCUCGGGUCUGCAUUCGAUACGGGCUAGCUAGAGUGUGGUAGGGGAGAUCGGAAUUCCUGGUGUAGCGGUGAAAUGCGCAGAUAUCAGGAGGAACACCGGUGGCGAAGGCGGAUCUCUGGGCCAUUACUGACGCUGAGGAGCGAAAGCGUGGGGAGCGAACAGGAUUAGAUACCCUGGUAGUCCACGCCGUAAACGUUGGGAACUAGGUGUUGGCGACAUUCCACGUCGUCGGUGCCGCAGCUAACGCAUUAAGUUCCCCGCCUGGGGGAGUACGGCCGCAAGGCUAAAACUCAAAGGAAUUGACGG
Molecule: ribosomal RNA, 840 nt
Filed under: Streptomyces sp. 0112ALTPS34
Lineage: Bacteria; Bacillati; Actinomycetota; Actinomycetes; Kitasatosporales; Streptomycetaceae
Description: bacterial SSU rRNA
Rfam family: Bacterial small subunit ribosomal RNA
Source: RNAcentral